This 306-nucleotide ribosomal RNA is filed under the name Triticum aestivum (bread wheat). RNAcentral's name for it is "partial small subunit ribosomal RNA". The record is from RNAcentral. Lineage: Eukaryota; Viridiplantae; Streptophyta; Magnoliopsida; Poales; Poaceae.
AUGAUAUUUCUAAUGGUAUGUACAACCAGAUGUUAUACUGAAAAAUUCAGGAAUCUUAUCCCAAUACUUUUGACCACUACUGUACUCCGACCACAAAAGUUGUUCGAACUUGCCAUGUGCCAAAUAACCAAUGGUACAGAGGCCAUGCAACUUAAAACAUCAACAGAUUUGGGGUGGUCGUCCAACCUUCUUCAUUGCCUUCUUUUAUGGGCCAGUGAUCUAUUUCAAGAUCGUUGUCAUCAACGUCUUCUGAAUCCAGCUAGCGACUUCCUAGCCACUGUGCAAAUAACAUUUUUGUGGCUCUGA